GCAUCUGCUAUAGAGACUUCGAGGUACAUUUGUCGCGUCCGCAGACCGAGGAGUCCAUUUCUACUCUAGUUGUCAAACAUUGCCCUUAUGUAUUUCUUUCUUGUUAGAUAUUCUGGAAUUAGACUGUUAGCUAGUCAAUGACUUGUGUAUCCGUGAGUUUUCGAGUUUUGGGAUAACUUAUUAAAUUCUGAGAAGUUGUGUUGUAUAUGCCGAGCGGCAUUCUAUAUACUAUUUUUUAUUUGGUUAGUCUUGGAGUUUAAUUAUUAUUUUCUUAAGAUUUCAUUUAUUUCCGCAUUUGUUAGGCAUACCUAGUCGUAGAGACUAGGUGCCGUCACGACAGUUCACGGAGGGCGAACUAGGAUCGUAACAAGUUAGUAUCAUAGCUCUAGUUUCAUAGGAGUCAUGGAUCACAAGCAGAUUUAUUAGAGUCUCGCUUUUCGGUAUGGAAAUGUCUUUACAUAUCUACGAGAGGCUAUAUAACUGUUAAGAAAAUUUCUACUUUAUUUGAUUUCCUUGUCGUGCAAUAUUUUGACAUCACAAUUCUAAGCUUCUGUCUUCUAUUCUCUCACAGAUGAUGAUGAAACGUGCUACCCGAGAUGACUAGGCACCCGCGCUCCCUACUGUAGCCGCCAGAGGCCAGGGUAGAGGGCGGGGUUGCACAUGUAGUGCAGCCAAAGCACCUGCGGGAACUACCGCCGAUGUACCACCAGUAGUUCCAGCCAGAGUCCAAGCCCCUGAUACGCCUACUACUGCUACUACUCCAGUUUUUCAAGAGACUCUAGCACAACUCAUGGGAAUGUACACCACUUUGACUCAGGCGGGGUUGCUUCCCCCAUAUUACAUCCACAUCCCAAGACGCGGGAGGAAAACAGACUUUCGUUGCCCGCACUCUCGAGCAGCGAGUGCUUGUUGAUCAGGUCCUGAAGAUUAUUCAUGUGCCGCAUCAGUGCCGGUUCAACUCGAGGACAGGCCAGG
This 975-nucleotide long non-coding RNA is filed under the name Nicotiana benthamiana. Its description in RNAcentral is "long non-coding RNA (NBEN_LNC022023)". Lineage: Eukaryota; Viridiplantae; Streptophyta; Magnoliopsida; Solanales; Solanaceae. The record is from RNAcentral.